GACUACUCAUUUAAGAACCAUUUGGUGUGGGCAUAGUGUAAAAGUGGGGUGUGGACCGUGUCUUCCACUUUGUAUGAAAUCAAUUAAAUUAUACAACAUUCUAAGCUAUUACCCACCAAGCUCUGCAUGGUUACAAAUACUGUGUCAUUCUAGGGCUUUACUUCAAAACUUGUGUAUAUGUGUUAUUGAGUAAGAGUCCCAUUUUAUGCAAAUUACCUUCAUAACAGUCCUAAACAAGAACUUAAGGGGAAGACCUCAGUUAUAUAUAUCAAGAAGACAUCAACAUUAAUGAUUCUGUUUGGACUAGAGACUUUGGCACCAGUUCUUGGACACUUAAUAUAAUUCAAACACAUUCAAAAGUUGGGAAAAGUCAUCCAUUUGAGUCUGCUCAGCUCAAGGUUCAACUUCCAUAGACUGAAGACUAAGACGGCGAGAAGGAUCCAGCGUACACGAAGCUGGUCCUCACCCUUGAGCAACGAUGCUGAUUCAGAAUCCCAUCAGUGACCUGGCAGAGAUGGAAAACAGCUUUGCGUAUUUUUCGAAAGGGGUGUUGUGGAACCUCAUGAUUUCUCAGGAGAUACCUGCCUUUCUGGAACUUUGAAUACAUGGAUAGUGCAUGUGCCUUCUAGGCAGAGACUUAUGUACUAGGAAAUGUUCCUUUACUCCAUGGUCCCGAAUCACAGCUUGUGCUAGGAAAGUUGCCAUCUAGAAACGCCUUUAUCAUUGCCUGAUAGUCUGGCAAUAAACUUGGUUGGGAUUCUCACUUGUUAUAUAGUAAAUCACUCUUUAACAAAAGUAACUUUUUGACGAUUCUCAAUCUGUCCUGCUUCACAGUUGGAGAUAGCUUCCCCCUAGAUGCAAUUCCAUGCAGUGUUUGCCUCAAUUUCUCACUUGCUGCAUGAUGGGACAUUAACAGAGCCAGACUUUUUCCUUCCUCUGAGUCCGAAUGACCCUUGGAUUACCUAUGUGUAGACAGAGUGUCCUGGUUUGACCAAUUCUAUUCUAGGCACUGACUUCAAUAAACAACUUUCAGAGGUUGUCCUCUGGUGCCACCACCCAAAGGUAAAAGACACAGAGAUAAGCUAAAAUUUCUUGCUCAGACAAUAGGAUGAAGAGGUCAGGGCAGGUCACCCAAGUUCACUGGGUCAUACACAUAGUAGGUAAUGAUUCUCGAAUAGUAUUGGCAGCCGUAUUUAACCAAAUUGUCAGUGUAAGUAUUGUUUAUGCCAACAGGCACUGCUAGGUAAACUAGUCCAUGGGAAAA
RNAcentral lists this long non-coding RNA (1264 nucleotides) under Mus musculus (house mouse). RNAcentral's name for it is "long non-coding RNA chr16:76397317-76398581". The record is from RNAcentral. Lineage: Eukaryota; Metazoa; Chordata; Mammalia; Rodentia; Muridae.